Molecule: ribosomal RNA, 453 nt
Filed under: uncultured bacterium
Lineage: Bacteria
Description: bacterial SSU rRNA
Rfam family: Bacterial small subunit ribosomal RNA
Source: RNAcentral
UACGGAAGGCAGCAGUGGGGAAUAUUGCACAAUGGGCGCAAGCCUGAUGCAGCCAUGCCGCGUGUAUGAAGAAGGCCUUCGGGUUGUAAAGUACUUUCAGUCGUGAGGAAGGUGUUAAGGUUAAUAACCUUAGCAAUUGACGUUAGCGACAGAAGAAGCACCGGCUAACUCCGUGCCAGCAGCCGCGGUAAUACGGAGGGUGCGAGCGUUAAUCGGAAUUACUGGGCGUAAAGGGCACGCAGGCGAUUAAUUAAGUUGGAUGUGAAAUCCCCGGGCUUAACCUGGGAAUGGCAUUCAAGACUGGUUAGCUAGAGUCUUGUAGAGGGGGUAGAAUUCCAUGUGUAGCGGUGAAAUGCGUAGAGAUGUGGAGGAAUACCGGUGGCGAAGGCGGCCCCUGGGACAAAGACUGACGCUCAUGUGCGAAAGCGUGGGGAGCAAACAGGAUUAGAUACC